Molecule: ribosomal RNA, 234 nt
Filed under: uncultured bacterium
Lineage: Bacteria
Description: partial 16S ribosomal RNA
Rfam family: Bacterial small subunit ribosomal RNA
Source: RNAcentral
UACAGAGGGUGCGAGCGUUAAUCGGAAUUAUUGGGCGUAAAGCGCGCGUAGGCGGUUACUCAAGUCGGAUGUGAAAGCCCUCGGCUUAAACUGAGGAAGUGCACCCGAAACUGAGUAGCUAGAGUACUAAAGAGGGUCGCGGAAUUCCCGGUGUAGAGGUGAAAUUCGUAGAUAUCAAGCGGAACACCGGUGGCGAAGGCGGCCUUACUGGACAGUGACGUGACGCUGAGAGUG